This is a long non-coding RNA of Sinocyclocheilus grahami, 544 nucleotides long. RefSeq lists it as uncharacterized. The transcript is spliced from 3 exons. The record is from RefSeq and is a predicted model, not a curated record. NCBI's taxonomy places the organism in Eukaryota, Metazoa, Chordata, Actinopteri, Cypriniformes, Cyprinidae.
AUCUGUCUUCUCUGAACAGCACUCUCGUGAACACCGGCCUCAGUAGAGCAGUUUUUGACUCAGUCAUGUGCUACACUUUAUUUACAAUUUCAAAUAAUUUCUUGCAGAUGAAGUAUACAUGUAGCCACUGUAUUUCUUUUAUUUUUUUCACAGAUCUCGGAAAACACUUCACACCCGACAACCCCUAAAAAUAACCCAGAUUUGACAGCAGUGCACACCCACCUGUUUUACUUCAUGAUCACCCCAGAUACUUCUACAACUAACCCGCUUUGUGUCUGAUGUUGAUGCAGUCUGGGCACUAGUAUCUGUUGGGUUGCUGACUAUCAUUGAAGAUGAAGUACUUCUCCAAAUCUUCUCUGCCUUGACCCUGUGUCUUUUGCCAUCAUUGUUCAGGGUAGUACUGCAAAGAACAGUCUCCAGGGUCUACCUCAGCCAUUUGCUUCCGGACUGCCAUGCACUAUGUUUGGAUCACUGGUACAGUACAUUUGGAUUACCCUAAUACUGUGAAGAACACUUACAGUGUGAUGCUUGACUUGGGACGGGA